RNAcentral lists this ribosomal RNA (1482 nucleotides) under metagenome. Its description in RNAcentral is "bacterial SSU rRNA". It matches the Rfam family "Bacterial small subunit ribosomal RNA". The record is from RNAcentral.
AGAGUUUGAUCCUGGCUCAGGAUGAACGCUGGCGGCGUGCUUAACACAUGCAAGUCGAACGAAGCAAUUUAGCGGAAGUUUUCGGAUGGAAGUUAAAUUGACUGAGUGGCGGACGGGUGAGUAACGCGUGGGUAACCUGCCUCACACUGGGGGACAACAGUUAGAAAUGACUGCUAAUACCGCAUAAGCGCACAGGACCGCAUGGUCCGGUGUGAAAAACUCCGGUGGUGUGAGAUGGACCCGCGUUUGAUUAGCUGGUUGGUGGGGUAACGGCCUACCAAGGCGACGAUCAAUAGCCGACCUGAGAGGGUGACCGGCCACAUUGGGACUGAGACACGGCCCAAACUCCUACGGGAGGCAGCAGUGGGGAAUAUUGCACAAUGGGGGAAACCCUGAUGCAGCGACGCCGCGUGAGUGAAGAAGUAUUUCGGUAUGUAAAGCUCUAUCAGCAGGGAAGAAAAUGACGGUACCUGACUAAGAAGCCCCGGCUAACUACGUGCCAGCAGCCGCGGUAAUACGUAGGGGGCAAGCGUUAUCCGGAUUUACUGGGUGUAAAGGGAGCGUAGACGGUAAAGCAAGUCUGAAGUGAAAGCCCGGGGCUCAACCCCGGGACUGCUUUGGAAACUGUUUAACUAGAGUGCUGGAGAGGUAAGCGGAAUUCCUAGUGUAGCGGUGAAGUGCGUAGAUAUUAGGAGGAACACCAGUGGCGAAGGCGGCUUACUGGACAGUAACUGACGUUGAGGCUCGAAAGCGUGGGGAGCAAACAGGAUUAGAUACCCUGGUAGUCCACGCCGUAAACGAUGAAUACUAGGUGUUGGGGGACAAAGUCCUUCGGUGCCGUCGCAAACGCAAUAAGUAAUCCACCUGGGGAGUACGACCGCAAGGUUGAAACUCAAAGGAAUUGACGGGGGCCCGCACAAGCAGAGGAGUAUGUGGUUUAAUUCGACGCAACGCGAAGAACCUUACCAAGUCUUGACAUCCCUUGACAGGCAUAGAAAUAUGUUUUCUCUUCGGAGCAGGGAGACAGGUGGUGCAUGGUUGUCGUCAGCUCGUGUCGUGAGAUGUUGGGUUAAGUCCCGCAACGAGCGCAACCCUUAUGGUCAGUUACUACGCAAGAGGACUCUGGCCAGACUGCCGUUGACAAAACGGAGGAAGGUGGGGAUGACGUCAAAUCAUCAUGCCCUUUAUGACUUGGGCUACACACGUACUACAAUGGCGUUAAACAAAGAGAAGCGAGACCGCGAGGUGGAGCAAAACUCAGAAACAACGUCCCAGUUCGGACUGCAGGCUGCAACUCGCCUGCACGAAGUCGGAAUUGCUAGUAAUCGUGGAUCAGCAUGCCACGGUGAAUACGUUCCCGGGCCUUGUACACACCGCCCGUCACACCAUGAGAGCCGGGGGGACCCGAAGUCGGUAGUCUAACCGCAAGGAGGACGCCGCCGAAGGUAAAACUGGUGAUUGGGGUGAAGUCGUAACAAGGUA